CCGCGGUAAGACAGAGGGUGCAAACGUUGCUCGGAUUUACUGGGCGUAAAGCGCAUGUAGGCGGGCGAAUAAGUCGGGUGUGAAAUCCCUGGGCUCAACCUAGGAACUGCAUUCGAAACUGUUCACCUAGAGUAGUGGAGAGGAAAGCGGAAUUCCGGGUGUAGAGGUGAAAUUCGUAGAUAUCCGGAGGAACACCAGUGGCGAAGGCGGCUUUCUGGACACUAACUGACGCUGAGAUGCGAAAGCGUGG
RNAcentral lists this ribosomal RNA (250 nucleotides) under uncultured bacterium. Its description in RNAcentral is "partial 16S ribosomal RNA". It matches the Rfam family "Bacterial small subunit ribosomal RNA", at positions 515 to 764 of the family's 1533-position model. The record is from RNAcentral.